Molecule: long non-coding RNA, 8183 nt
Organism: Tribolium castaneum (red flour beetle)
Lineage: Eukaryota; Metazoa; Arthropoda; Insecta; Coleoptera; Tenebrionidae
Exons: 2
Source: RefSeq, a predicted model, not a curated record
GAAAAAUCACCGGGACUUGUUACUUUAUUUACGAUUUUGUUUUCAUACGGGAAACCGGUUUCAAACCGGUGAUGGUUAAAAAAAUCCUCCACUUCUUCGGGCCCACUCACCGGCUUAGAAGCUAAUCCGCGAUGAUUAUCCGCACUUUUAGCGAUUAUUAGAUCGCGGCUCGCGAUUUCACGGUUAAUUUCAACGCCGAGAUGUGGGUCACACACAUUAACCGUGACAUUUGAUCUAAUUUCGAUGGCGAAAAAACGGGAGAAGCGAAAUGACCAAACAAUAGCUUGCGAGCGAUGACCUGACCUGACACGAAUACACAUUGGACGUGCGAUCCCACUGAAGCGAUUAAAAAAGCACCCACUAGAAGGCGAUCGUCAGCGGCAGUGGCGUAGCCAAAGGGAAAAAUAAUAAUUAAUUACCACUUGUAAAUUUUUUAUAAUGAGAGAAUUCUUAAUUCACGACGACCGCAGCUGCGAGUGGGUUAAAUCCGCGAGUCUAUAGCGCAACUUUAUCGUAUGAUAGUUUUACUCACAGAAAAACCAAGAAAUACUUCAUGAUUCGUCAUAUAUCGGCCACGGCCGUUAUAAGUUGUACCUAUAGUUUGACAUUAUGAUCAUUAAUAAUUUCGCCAAAAUACUUGAAUAUCACGAAAAAAUGCUGAACGCCACAUUAUAAAUGAAAAUUAUGACUCAAUGUCAUACAAAUUUAAUGAAAUUAAUUAUGUAUUUGCAGAUACAGCAGACUAGUAAAUACACUGCUGAAGAAACUGAGUACGAAACUAAAAAAUUAAAAAUCUUUGAACCGGACGACGUUAUUAGAUUUUUAAAAGAAUUUUAAGAAUACCUCCCUACGAUCGCUGGAUCAGCUAGAAAUUACAAGUUAUGUUUGAAGAAUAACAACAUCAGUUAUUAAUUACAGUUUUUGUGUUUAAUAGUUCAAACAAACCUCUACACUCGUCAAGAAUAUGUAAUUCUCAUUUUAAAAUGAGUUGAAGAAAAAAUCAGCAAAAAUAAAGGACCCCCUUGAACAUCUACUAUAGGCCAUAGAACAAAUGAAAAAGUAAAAUAUAUUCGUUCAUAAUUAAAAAAUAUAUCUCAUUCUGCUUAAAAAAUUACAAAAAAUAUACUUAUUAAAUCGUUACAAAUAGAUUUAAUUAGAAGUAACUUUAGGGCAGAAUCUUUUACCAAAAAAAAAAAAAACGAUCAAAAAAUGUGAAAAAUGAUCACAUUUUUAAAGUACUUGAUGUUCUAUUUUUUUUCGUAAUGUAGGUACAAAACGCUUGGUUCCGUACUUUUGCCGAACUCUGUAUACGAGUACAAAUGUUCCAUGAAAUAAAAGAUUUUUAAAAGUAAUAAAAACACUGUAACACAGUGAUUUUAAUUUUAAAUACUAGUAUGUGUUUAACUUGCGCCAUAAAACCCGUAAUAUUUUUCAUUUUCUGUGGAGAAAUUCCAGGAUUUUUGUUUUUUUUUUGUAACACAUGAAUGCAGCAGUUACGUGUAUGUUUGUUUAAAAUUUGCACGAUAACAUUGUUAUUUUUUCAAGCAACAAGAUACUUAAGUAACAAACAUAAUGAGACUUAUCAUAUUCCACACUGUGUACGUAUGUUUAUCAUGCUGUGGGAACAAGAAAAUUGGAGUGCCAGAAUCACCAGAGUGAUUAAAAUUAAAAUUUCGCCUGGUAAAGCAAUUCGCAGAUUUACAAUCAGAAUGCAGUGAGCAGCACUGUCUCGCCCGUGUAGCGUUUUAAUUGUAUAAUUGACGACACUUUCGAGCUUGUUGUGUAACACUGCAAUUAAAAAUCCUUGUUACGCCACUGGCGUGUCGGGGGAGUGUCGACCGCGAUGGGUCGUUAAGUCUCCGUUCCCUUUUCAAGGCCAUCGAAAAUGGUCUUGGGUCAUUUGAUGGGUCCUCCCCAGUCGCUCGCUUAUCGAUUUCGUCCGGUUGAUUUUAUUGCUUAUGAUACGAAGCGGUAAUAUUUUUAUUUUACGUUUCUUGGCUUUAAUCGAAUUCUUUCGGUGUAGUCUCAGCUAUGUUUUAAUAACGGAGGGUGGGUGGAAAAAUGCAGGUCGUAGCGCAAGGAUGUAAGCAAACAACUUGUAAUUUAAUCUCUUUGUAAACACAAAGCCAUAGAGAUUGGAAAAUAAUGAAAUUAUACGAAUUAUUCGAUUCCUGUCCAUGUCCACAAACACAGCGGGGGUCGCGGUUUUUAAUCGUUUUAAUCGAAACUUUGAGUCAAUAAUAUUGCCACAGUCGUUUUUCGAGCGAUGACAAACAGAUGUGCCUCCACAUCUGCUCAACAGUCACAAAAACGACUGAUAAAAACCGAGACGGAUUCGUGCAAUGAGGGCUUAUCAGUGCGUUUUCAAAGUUUGUUUAUCAAAGUUCGCCAAUUAGCGACAUCUGAUGAGCGAGUAAUUGUCACUAAUAAAUUGUCUCGGGGCGUAAAUAUUUCAGUUCUAAAAUUAGAAGGACUUCCGUGGUCCCGAAAUAUCGUCAAGGGGCGAAGUUUUAGCUGAAAUCGCAGAUUGUGGGAGUUUUGGACCGAUUCCACGCCGAGCGGUAAUGACCGCUAUGAAAAAUCUGAUUUCUAAUCGAAUUGAGUCCCUUUGUGCCGGCUUUCAUCACUUCAACCUGAUUCUGAGAGAAAAGUUGCUAUCCGGAGGAAAUCUGGUUGACAUUUAAGAAUUUUCUUGUACCUGUUUAGAUUUGUGGCGAAGUUUCUCUUUUAUGGUAAAUAGAUGCCAUUUUAGAGGCAGAUAAGGAACGUUUGGCUGUUGCUUAUCGGUGCCUUAACGCGAAAUGUGUGUAAUUGCGCCUAAUAAAAACACCUACGCCGCUAGAACGGUUGGUGGAAAAUAAAAUUCUCUACUUUGUAAUGUAUUGUGAAAACAACACGAAACAAACAUGAAAACAAUAACAGCAUUUUUGGUGCGAAAAUGUAAUCACCGCCGAGUUACGAGUAUUUGAGUUAAUCGAAAAGGCAAUCGUUUUGAUUAUUCUGUUAAUAUGUUUGCUUUGCUUUGAAGGCAUUUGUAAUUAAGCCGGGUCUGUGAUCAUACAUAUGAAGAACAUAUCUAGAGAGGGCACGGUCUUAAUGUGAACCGAAAACAUGACAGAGUAAUUUCACAAGUCAUUAAUGUAAAUCAGUCUAUUAUCGGAUUAAGUAGUACGAAAUUGAGUCAGUUUAUCCAGUGCUAUUAAGCAAUAUAUCCCUUUAAAACUAAUCUCAUCAAGUAGGUUAGGGAAGGCAUAGUAAAACAAGAUGCUAUCGGCUUACGUUCUCGCCUACUAUACUAGCGCAGCCAACUUUUGCCGGAAAAGGAUUAGUCUCCUCCUAAGAACCGGCAGUGUUAAAUUUCACUUCGACCUUAUUGUGAAACGACUUUUGACUCGAAGGGAGGACCAGAAUGUCGCAAGGAAAUUCGCCGUAAAUUUUACCGACAGUUUGUUGACCUUUCAAGUUAUUGUGAUAAGAUCCGGAAACCCACCCCCGAAACACUCUGUUUUCAUUUGCCCUUCUUUCGUUAAUAAAGUCGGAAUGAACGGCCACUAAAAGCAGACAGCGCGAUUAGGUAUAGUUAAUAAAAAAGAAAUGACUCUUCAUCGUUCACUUGAUAAUUGGAUCGUUUUUCUCCGGACACCCUCACCACAAAGGACCCACUAUUAAAUUGAAAUGAAUCACGAACAGAAAAACAUCUUUCAGCACUGGAACUUUUGGACUAGAGAAUUUUAAAUCAGGAAGCCAACCAACUUCAAGGCUAUUUCAUGAUUUCACGCCAAAACUUGUACAAGGAUAAGGAAACAUAAAUAAAAUCGGCUUAUUUACUCAAAUAUUGACAAUUUGAUGUUACACAAAAAAGUAAUUAGAACGCUAAUGCUUUAAAAAUGUAUUUGUUUAAACCAAAGGUCAAUUGCAAAAUAGGAAGAUUCAAGUCACCAAGUGCGGUGACCGAUUAAAUUACUACUCGACUUUUUCAAUUAUCAGAAGCCAAUCCUAGCGCUGUUUUUGCACACAUUGGUGCCAAUAGUAGAAUUAACAACUCCUGAAUAUAAAUUGCCAUUUACUAAUUUUGCAUAAUAUCAAAUGUUGCAAACGUGUUUGGCUUAUCAAUGAAAUUUUUGUUUUACUAUUUUACUUUUACUAUCCAAUGUUUGUUGGAAUUUAACAAAACAAAACUUGAAAAAAAUUGCACAAUAGUGGACGCAAUAACGUGAAGUUCAACGAUUUCGUCAGUGCAUUCAUAACUUCCCGAUAUAUUCCUAAAAAUCAUGGAGAGAUUAUCAAAGGUCGAGAGCGAGUCUGUUAUUCAAACCACUUUUGCUCCUAUUAUCUAUCCACAAGGGCUCUAAAGCAUCAAAAGCUUUUAAUGAGGCAAUUUCAUUAAAGGGAAACUCGGAAUUAUCUAAAGCAACAAGAGAUCAGUUUUUACUUCUAUUUUGGUAACUUUGUAUGAAAUUUAAAAAUUUAGCACCUGACAGGUGAUGGUCACAAUCCAAACUUGUAUGAUAAUUAUCUCUAGAUUUGUGACCCAGACUGCGAGAAAAAUUAAUGUCAAUAUCGGCCUAAAAAUGUGCAAUUUGUAUGCUUAUUAGUAUUAGGCCUGAUUUGAGCGAAGUGAAAGUGGUUUUUUAGCCACUUUUCUAAAAAGCGGUUUCAGCGAUUGUGCAGAUAAUGAUACCGUUCGCAUGCAAUCCGAGUCCUUGACCGAUGCCUUAUGAAAAUAAUGUGUUGUUUACCUCUGAUGCUUCUGGUGUUGACACAUUUAUGCCGUCACGUCUCCUGUAUCUUGUCGUUUAUUUGCGAAAGAAUGAAAAUGUGCAAAGCAGGGAUGUUGUUUACCGUCAGUUUGGAAGCGGCUUCAUGUCGAUACUUGUUGAUAUGUAGAGUCCUUGUUGCGUUGAUAAGCAAUUAAUUGUCGACUUGUCCCAUUGUAGGAAAUAACAGCGUUCAGGGCCAUGUCAGAUUUAUCGCACAAUGGGAUGUCAUUAGCGUUAUACAUUCCUUAUUUGGGCCUUCUUAUUUCGUACGGAGCCGCUAAUAAUUUCAUGUCUUGUAAGGCACGAUUCGAAAAUACCUUUGGAGAAAUUAUAUUGCCAUUCAAGUCGGGAUUGUUGCGUUGCCAUGGCUGGUAUCGGGCUUCUCCUGCCUCAACUUUCCUUCUUUCAUUCGAGUUUUGUUUACGCAGUAAAGUUCAAGCGAUCCGUCACACAGGAAGGGCGAAGACAAUGGUGGCGACAGCCCGCGAGGGGUGAAGGUGAAAUGAAUAUGUAGCCGCAUGCAAAUCCCUUCCAGCACAUGAAAUUUAAAUCGUCCCUUAACGAGCCAAGAUGUAUCGUUCUUCUCGAAUCUCGGACGUAAUCUUCACGCUCCACUUUGGUGAAAUUCAGCCAACAAAGAUUUUAAUGAGUUGACAUAUUUUAAUUAACAAAACGCGUCGCUCAAAACAAAGCCCGCUGGACCGCUCCCCAGUCCUGGCUGCCACUUUACAUAAUCGAAUAUUAAAGUACCAUUAAAAUUUCCGGCGCUGUCUCCAUCGACUUAUUUAUUCAAGCCUUAUUAGCCAUCCUUUUUAGUUGGCGAGGUGAACACGGAAUCGAAAGUAGCAUUUCAUCAUCACGUACUAUUCGAGUAAAACUGGGCCCUUGUCCGGACCGGAGAGGUCACAGUCGUAAAUUCAAAUCGUCAACCCACACCGUAACCGGCGCCCAGAAACUUACCAUAACGUCUGGCCGUGGACCACUCCAUGGGUCGUUCACUUGGGCCGGUUACAGGGUGGAUGGUAUGUGGCUCCGGAUCGAUCGGGAUGCAGACGCGGUCUGGACCCUUAUUAAAAAUAUGAGACGGGUUUAUGGGGCCGCAUCUGGGCCUGUUUAUGUUCCAGCAUCAAGAGCUUUCAAUUGGGUGGAUUACGAGCUGUUACGUGUUGUUUUACUUUUUCAAAACGCACCGCCAACAAAACAGUAAUUUUUGGAGUUUCGAAAUUUAAUCUUGGCCUUGGAUAUUUUAUCAAAUUUGUAUGUUCAUUGUGACUAUUUUUUUACCGGUAUAAGAUAUUCACGAUAAUCAGUACUCUAAAAUAAUAGAUAGCAUAUCUAUACCUAGGUUAGUGCAAAACGCCUUUGUUACAGGUCACCUUUUUACGUCAUGAAACCCAAACUUUGAUCCUUUCCCAACAAAUAUUUCCCUGAUACUCAAGCGUGACAGUUGCGUGCGCCUGAGAGGGUUUACGAUUAAUUCAACUUGAAGUCACUUGAAAAUCAAUUUUUUCAAAGACAGAUAUCUGUCUAUUUCUAGUUUUACGUGUAACUAAUCUCGAUUUUUGAGUAAUUAGCCUUGUCAAUCAAUUUCAGACACAUCCAACAUGAGUUCCCUUUUAUCUUUGUGUUUACUUUGUCGAAAAACAUUUGACGAUGGCCAGAAAACACCUUGAAGGACUCCUGUUACGUGUUAUUUCUCUAACGAAAUUUCCCCUAGUAACAACAGCCUCUGCACUUGUGCCUAAUCAGUGGGGCUAGAUUUUUAAUCAUAAAUCAGUUUUAAUAAAUGCUGCUUUGCAUUAUAAGGCCUUAUCGCUAAUGAUAAGUGUGUUUUGAGUGAUUAUCGUUAUUAAAAUAUCGUCAGCAAACAAGCAAGUCUGUCAUCUAAAUUGAACUGUUUUCAUCCGAAUAUAAAAUUCGGAUGCAUUAGGGUUGUCGUGAUAAGGGAGCAUAAAUAUGGCAGGUAGAUAUUUCGGCUAUUAUCAGUCGCUUCCUGCGGUAAUUUUGGUCCUGUAGCUCCGAAAAUAGCCCGUGUCUCGAUGGGAGUCGUAGCUUUUAAAAAUUCCUGUAUCUCGACCGAUUCUUGAAUUUUAAUCGGGUCCAAACAUAAGCGUAAUAUUUUUAUCAAACGCUCUCCGAACGUUUAUUCAGAUAAUAUAUUUAGGUCAAUCGUAUUAUAUAAUCUGACGUUAAUGUGUUUGUUCAACCAGUAGAAGGACUUUAUGGGACGCAAUCUUCCUCCUCUGGUCGUGUGAGGCGAGGGUUUAUCGACUAAAUAAUUAAAUUUGAGGCGACCGUGCGAGGCAGGUACGGGAUGAUUUUAUUAUUUAGGUGCUCGAUAAUUAAAAGUUACGUAACAGCCCGGAGAUAAUUAUAGUUUAUCUCGGUAAUUAUUGUAAACAAAUUCACUCUCAAAAAUGAGAUAGUAAACCAGUCUAAGUAAAUAGUGAUAGCCGGGAGACAAAGAAAAAUCAAGAGAAAAGCCGAUGACUCCUUAUCAGCCGACUUUGCAAGAACUUUGAACCAAUUUUGUAAAGUUGCAUCGCUUUUUGACGUAAAAAACCCAAAACGGAUCUGUUUUGCACGAAAUUGUUUGCUCGAGUGAGAUAUUUUUAUGAAAUUAAGGUCGUCGGGUGGUUAGUUGAUAACGAUUCCGUAUCGUUGGACGCCUUUCGCUCCCCUUGCGUUCUCCCCUUGAAAUUUACGAUCGAAUUUUGAAUAUAUUAUGAAUCAUGUGUCGACCCUUCUAAAAGUCGCUUCGAGUGGAAAAUCGAGUGAUCUUCCAUCGAAAGGUAUAAAUUUCGAUGAAUUUUUUCGUAAUUACGACAGACUGAUAAAAUGCGAGAGGUGGAAAAUGAGAACCCGUUAUUUUUUACAGUCCUCGUUUUAUAUUCACAGACUUAUUUAUUAUUUACACAUUUCUGAAAUAAUCAUUAAUUUGCAAAUACCUGUGUUUGUGAAUAAAGCAGUUUCCUGUGUACACAAAACAACUUUCUCGUCUGUCUAUUAAUUAUGUUGCUGUGUGUUUUUUGCAACGGUAAUAGGAACCCACUAGAGGUGUAAUGGUGCGUUGAAAAUCCGAGAGUCAAAAUGCGAUAAAUGUGCAAGAGCACGAUAAAACGCGAAAAAAACGACACGUGUAUAAAUAUUUGAAGAUCACAAUGCAAAUACGCGAUUUUUUUCUACGCCCCGUCGUUCGAAAAUAAACACGAAGACUCGAGUAAAUUAAUUCGAUAAAUUUAUUCAGUUAAAAGCAGCCGGCUAUGACGCCCCAACAUAACAUAAUGACAGCAUUCAACCCCAUUACCGGAUUCGAUUAAGAGUUUUUAUUUGUUCUAAAGCAGCGUCGAAGGCGGAAGGUAGUAGCAUUGUCACUCCCUUCCCUUGAAUUCCAUCAUGUCUUCAUUGUAUGCUGUAGAUUCC